UGGUGGGGCGCCGGGCAGCUCCUCCCGGACUCUGGCUCCUGUCCAAACUAAUGCGCCGCAUACGUUUUUUUGGUUGGGUUGCAGUUGGAAUAUGGAGAGAAGACAGAGACGCUGAGCUCCGCCCCAUCACUUUCAUCCAUAUGUGCGUGUUAUUAUAUAUUAUGCAUUCAUUUUUUUUUCUCCUUUCUCCCCCCUUAUGCCCCUCGAGGACACUGAGUUUUUUCUUGUGCGUCUAUAGCGACAUUCGAGACGUUUUAAGUAUCAUCGUUAUUAUUAUUAUUCGGUAAUAAAGGCCGCGCGGCGAAAAUUCUGUCGUGUCGGCUCAAAAGUCCACAUUCCAAUCAGCGGGAUACCAGUCUAUAAUUUUCUCUUGGAAGCCAAGAGGAAUAAUUUUUAGAGACUAGAAUCAUCCCGAUCAGUUCAGCGGAUGUCGUGGGUCACAAAACCGCUUUUGAUUGUUUUUGAGCGGGAAGGAUUUUUAAAAAAGGAAGAGUCGAUUUUUAAUUGUUUAAUCGAUUUCUUAAAGAUUGCUAAUGGGCAUAGUAGAACAACAGUCAAAAGUUGUCGUCUGCUUUGUUGAAAAGUUUCAAACAAGCAUGGAACAAGAGACAAAGUUGAAAAGAUUACAAAGAAAACGGAACCAUCAUACUUUUUGGCAAACGUACACACGUUGCUGCACGAAACAAAGCACAACAAAUAAAACUACAAAAAUGUGGUCGUCGUGUCUCGUGUGAAACUGGUGUCGCGACUCUCCAUGCUCUCCACGCCAUGCCGUUUGGCAGAUUUGAGGCCUGCCAUCGUUACAAAAAAUAUAUGCCAGUUUUCACUUCUGCUGGUAUUUACCUGUCAACAGCAACAACCUCACCAUCAUCGCUUGGAUAAACAGCAUCCCGUUUGAGUUGGAGUAUCUACCCAGGAUGUCGGUCGAGUUACGGAUCUCUUCUUCCCCGUUCUUGAAAUGUCCACGUGUACACCCAUGUGAGUGUGGGGGUAUUCACGAGACUUUUCCUAUAUCCCGCCUGGUGGAUUCAACUUUUCUGAGGAUGGAUGGAGCAACUGCAGAUGCCUGGCUGUGGAUUUCCCGGGCUUUAAGGUAGGAAAAUUGUUUCUCUAUUCUUCCUUUUUUGACUCUCUGGUUGCUUUGUUUUUAAAUC
Daphnia pulex (common water flea) is the source of this 1154-nucleotide long non-coding RNA. RefSeq lists it as uncharacterized. The record is from RefSeq and is a predicted model, not a curated record. The transcript is spliced from 3 exons. Lineage: Eukaryota; Metazoa; Arthropoda; Branchiopoda; Diplostraca; Daphniidae.